CUUCAGUGAUGAUACGAUGACGAGACAGAAAUGGGACUCCUGUUCUGCGGGUUACUGAUUCAGGGCUGCGUUCUGUAGUUCUGCUCCAGUUCCUCAGAACAGGGAGUCCUCUUCACAUGAAGACACCGAGGCAUUUGUCUGAGAAGG
Molecule: small nucleolar RNA, 147 nt
Filed under: Cyclopterus lumpus (lumpfish)
Lineage: Eukaryota; Metazoa; Chordata; Actinopteri; Perciformes; Cyclopteridae
Source: RNAcentral